This 69-nucleotide transfer RNA is filed under the name Metaphire sieboldi (earthworm). RNAcentral's name for it is "tRNA-Gln". It matches the Rfam family "tRNA". From Rfam's summary of the family: Transfer RNA (tRNA) molecules are approximately 80 nucleotides in length. Their secondary structure includes four short double-helical elements and three loops (D, anti-codon, and T loops). Lineage: Eukaryota; Metazoa; Annelida; Clitellata; Crassiclitellata; Megascolecidae. The record is from RNAcentral.
UAUAGUGUGGUGUAUGGUGCACACAGGUCUUUGAAUCCUGAAGAUUUAGUUCAACUCUCUUUACUAUAA